Molecule: ribosomal RNA, 1352 nt
Filed under: uncultured bacterium
Lineage: Bacteria
Description: bacterial SSU rRNA
Rfam family: Bacterial small subunit ribosomal RNA
Source: RNAcentral
AUUGAACGCUGGCGGCAUGCCUUACACAUGCAAGUCGAACGGCAGCACGGAGCUUGCUCUGGUGGCGAGUGGCGAACGGGUGAGUAAUAUAUCGGAACGUACCCUAGAGUGGGGGAUAACGUAGCGAAAGUUACGCUAAUACCGCAUACGAUCUAAGGAUGAAAGUGGGGGACCGCAAGACCUCAUGCUCGUGGAGCGGCCGAUAUCUGAUUAGCUAGUUGGUAGGGUAAAAGCCUACCAAGGCAUCGAUCAGUAGCUGGUCUGAGAGGACGACCAGCCACACUGGAACUGAGACACGGUCCAGACUCCUACGGGAGGCAGCAGUGGGGAAUUUUGGACAAUGGGCGAAAGCCUGAUCCAGCAAUGCCGCGUGAGUGAAGAAGGCCUUCGGGUUGUAAAGCUCUUUUGUCAGGGAAGAAAUGGUGAGAGCUAAUAUCUCUUGCUAAUGACGGUACCUGAAGAAUAAGCACCGGCUAACUACGUGCCAGCAGCCGCGGUAAUACGUAGGGUGCAAGCGUUAAUCGGAAUUACUGGGCGUAAAGCGUGCGCAGGCGGUUUUGUAAGUCUGAUGUGAAAUCCCCGGGCUCAACCUGGGAAUUGCAUUGGAGACUGCAAGGCUAGAAUCUGGCAGAGGGGGGUAGAAUUCCACGUGUAGCAGUGAAAUGCGUAGAUAUGUGGAGGAACACCGAUGGCGAAGGCAGCCCCCUGGGUCAAGAUUGACGCUCAUGCACGAAAGCGUGGGGAGCAAACAGGAUUAGAUACCCUGGUAGUCCACGCCCUAAACGAUGUCUACUAGUUGUCGGGUCUUAAUUGACUUGGUAACGCAGCUAACGCGUGAAGUAGACCGCCUGGGGAGUACGGUCGCAAGAUUAAAACUCAAAGGAAUUGACGGGGACCCGCACAAGCGGUGGAUGAUGUGGAUUAAUUCGAUGCAACGCGAAAAACCUUACCUACCCUUGACAUGGCUGGAAUCCCCGAGAGAUCAGGGAGUGCUCGAAAGAGAACCAGUACACAGGUGCUGCAUGGCUGUCGUCAGCUCGUGUCGUGAGAUGUUGGGUUAAGUCCCGCAACGAGCGCAACCCUUGUCAUUAGUUGCUACGAAAGGGCACUCUAAUGAGACUGCCGGUGACAAACCGGAGGAAGGUGGGGAUGACGUCAAGUCCUCAUGGCCCUUAUGGGUAGGGCUUCACACGUCAUACAAUGGUACGUACAGAGCGCCGCCAACCCGCGAGGGGGAGCUAAUCGCAGAAAGUGUAUCGUAGUCCGGAUUGCAGUCUGCAACUCGACUGCAUGAAGUUGGAAUCGCUAGUAAUCGCGGAUCAGCAUGUCGCGGUGAAUACGUUCCCGGGUCU